Molecule: ribosomal RNA, 450 nt
Filed under: uncultured bacterium
Lineage: Bacteria
Description: partial 16S ribosomal RNA
Rfam family: Bacterial small subunit ribosomal RNA
Source: RNAcentral
CCUACGGGCGGCAGCAGUGGGGAAUUUUGGACAAUGGGCGCAAGCCUGAUCCAGCCAUGCCGCGUGAGUGAAGAAGGCCUUCGGGUUGUAAAGCUCUUUCGGCGGGGAAGAAAUGGCGCUUGUUAAUACCGAGCGUCGAUGACGGUACCCGCAUAAGAAGCACCGGCUAACUACGUGCCAGCAGCCGCGGUAAUACGUAGGGUGCGAGCGUUAAGCGGAAUUACUGGGCGUGAUGCGUGCGCAGGGAUGUGAAAUCCCCGGGCUCAACCUGGGAACUGCAUUUGAGACUGCACGGCUAGAGUGUGACAGAGGGGGGUAGAAUUCCACGUGUAGCAGUGAAAUGCGUAGAGAUGUGGAGGAAUACCGAUGGCGAAGGCAGCCCCCUGGGUUACUACUGACGCUCAUGCACGAAAGCGUGGGGAGCAAACAGGAUUAGAUACCCGUGUAGUC